RNAcentral lists this ribosomal RNA (494 nucleotides) under uncultured bacterium. Its description in RNAcentral is "bacterial SSU rRNA". It matches the Rfam family "Bacterial small subunit ribosomal RNA", at positions 903 to 1397 of the family's 1533-position model. The record is from RNAcentral.
AAAGGAAUAGACGGGGGCCCGCACAAGCGGUGGAGCAUGUGGUUUAAUUCGAUGCAACGCGAAGAACCUUACCAAGAUUUGACAUGCCGGCGGCAGGCUUAGAGAUAAGCCGUCCCUUUGGGCGCCGGACACAGGUGGUGCAUGGUUGUCGUCAGCUCGUGUCGUGAGAUGUUGGGUUAAGUCCCGCAACGAGCGCAACCCUUAUCUUCAGUAGCCAGCGGGUAAAGCCGGGCACUCUGGAGAGACUGCCGUGGAUAACACGGAGGAAGGCGGGGAUGAGGUCAAAUCAUCAUGCCCUUUAUGUCUUGGGCUACACACGUGCUACAAUGGCAGCAACAAAGCGAAGCGAACGGGCGACCGCGAGCGAAACGCAAAAAAGCUGUCUCAGUUCGGAUUGCAGGCUGCAACCCGCCUGCAUGAAGCUGGAAUCGCUAGUAAUCGCGGAUCAGAAUGCCGCGGUGAAUACGUUCCCGGGCCUUGUACACACCGCCCGU